This 301-nucleotide ribosomal RNA is filed under the name uncultured bacterium. Its description in RNAcentral is "partial 16S ribosomal RNA". It matches the Rfam family "Bacterial small subunit ribosomal RNA", at positions 509 to 807 of the family's 1533-position model. The record is from RNAcentral.
CAGCAGCCGCGGUAAUACGAAGGGGGCUAGCGUUGUUCGGAUUUACUGGGCGUAAAGCGCACGUAGGCGGACUUUUAAGUCAGGGGUGAAAUCCCGGGGCUCAACCCCGGAACUGCCUUUGAUACUGGGAGUCUUGAGUUCGAGAGAGGUGAGUGGAAUUGCGAGUGUAGAGGUGAAAUUCGUAGAUAUUCGCAGGAACACCAGUGGCGAAGGCGGCUCACUGGCUCGAUACUGACGCUGAGGUGCGAAAGCGUGGGAAGCAAACAGGAUUAGAUACCCCAGUAGUCCCUGUCUCUUAUAC